This 39-nucleotide ribosomal RNA is filed under the name Trichoplax sp. H4. Its description in RNAcentral is "partial 28S ribosomal RNA". The record is from RNAcentral. Lineage: Eukaryota; Metazoa; Placozoa; Uniplacotomia; Trichoplacea; Trichoplacidae.
UUAGACCUCAGAUCAGGCAAGACUACCCGCUGUACUUAA